This 352-nucleotide RNase P RNA is filed under the name uncultured Acetatifactor sp. RNAcentral's name for it is "Bacterial RNase P class A". It matches the Rfam family "Bacterial RNase P class A". Rfam says of the family: Ribonuclease P (RNase P) is a ubiquitous endoribonuclease, found in archaea, bacteria and eukarya as well as chloroplasts and mitochondria. Its best characterised activity is the generation of mature 5'-ends of tRNAs by cleaving the 5'-leader elements of precursor-tRNAs. Cellular RNase Ps are ribonucleoproteins. Lineage: Bacteria; Bacillati; Bacillota; Clostridia; Lachnospirales; Lachnospiraceae. The record is from RNAcentral.
UAGGAUAAAUAAUCGCGGCUGCAUGAUGUGCAGAUGAGGAAAGUCCGGGCUUCACAGGGCAGGAUGCCAGAUAACGUCUGGUGGAGGUGACUCCAAGGAAAGUGCAACAGAAAUAUACCGCCGGGGCUUUCUCCACAGGGGAGAGAUUCCGGUGAGGGUGGAAAGGCAGUGUAAGAGACUACCGUCCGUCUGGUAACAGACGGAGCCAUGUAAACCCCAUCCGAAGCAAGACCAAAAGGAAAGCGACAGGUUUGCCCGGCCUGCUUUCAGGUGGGUCGCUGGACGCGGCUGGUGACAGUCGUGCUAGAUAGAUGAUUAUUCGAGACAUAACCCGGCUUACCGUCCUGCUUGC